RNAcentral lists this ribosomal RNA (447 nucleotides) under uncultured bacterium. RNAcentral describes it as "SSU rRNA". It matches the Rfam family "Bacterial small subunit ribosomal RNA", at positions 26 to 518 of the family's 1533-position model. The record is from RNAcentral.
AGAGCGAACGCUGGCGGCAGGCCUAAUACAUGCAAGUCGAACGAACCCUUCGGGGUUAGUGGCGGACGGGUGAGUAACACGUGGGAACGUGCCCUUUGGUUCGGAACAACUCAGGGAAACUUGAGCUAAUACCGGAUAAGCCCUUCGGGGGAAAGAUUUAUCGCCAUUGGAGCGGCCCGCGUCUGAUUAGCUAGUUGGUGAGGUAAAGGCUCACCAAGGCUUCGAUCAGUAGCUGGUCUGAGAGGAUGAUCAGCCACACUGGGACUGAGACACGGCCCAGACUCCUACGGGAGGCAGCAGUAGGGAAUCUUGCGCAAUGGGCGAAAGCCUGACGCAGCCAUGCCGCGUGAAUGAUGAAGGUCUUAGGAUUAGUAAAAUUCUUUCAGCGGGGACGAUAAUGACGGUACCCGCAGAAGAAGCCCCGGCUAACUUCGCGCCAGCAGCCGC